RNAcentral lists this ribosomal RNA (416 nucleotides) under uncultured bacterium. RNAcentral describes it as "bacterial SSU rRNA". It matches the Rfam family "Bacterial small subunit ribosomal RNA", at positions 9 to 425 of the family's 1533-position model. The record is from RNAcentral.
GAGUUUGAUCUUGGCUCAGGAUGAACGCUAGCUGGAGGCUUAAUACAUGCAAGUCGAGCGGGAUUGAGGUAGUAAUAUCUCAUGAGAGCGGCGAACGGGUGAGUAACGCGUACACGACCUACCUUUGACUGGGGGAUAGCCCUGGGAAACUGGGAUUAAUACCGCAUAUAAUUUCGAAUAGUAAAGGAUUUGGAAUGAAAGUUCAGGCGGUCAGAGAUGGGUGUGCGUCUGAUUAGCUAGUUGGUAAGUAACGGCUUACCAAGGCGAUGAUCAGUAGGGGGCGUGAGAGCGUGGUCCCCCCACACGGGUACUGAGACACGGACCCGACUCCUACGGGAGCAGCAGUAAGGAAUAUUGGACAAUGGCCGCAAGGCUGAUCCAGCCAUCCAGCGUGCAGGAAGAGGCCCUAUGGGUUG